ACCUCUAGCAUUACUAGUAUUAGAGGCAAUGCCUGCCCAGUGACACCAGUUUAACGGCCGCGGUAUUCUGACCGUGCAAAGGUAGCAUAAUCACUUGUUCUCCAAAUAAGGACUUGUAUGAAUGGCCACACGAGGGUUUUACUGUCUCUUACUUCCAAUCAGUGAAAUUGACCUUCCCGUGAAGAGGCGGGAAUAAAAAAAUAAGACGAGAAGACCCUAUGGAGCUUUAAUUAACUACUCCAAAAGUUAAACAAUUCAACCACAAAGGGAUAAAACAUAACUUAACAUGGACUAGCAAUUUCGGUUGGGGUGACCUCGGAGUACAAAAAACCCUCCGAGUGAUUUUAAUCUAGACAAACCAGUCAAAAUAACCAUAACAUCACUUAUUGAUCCAAAAUUUUGAUCAACGGAACAAGUUACCCUAGGGAUAACAGCGCAAUCCUAUUCUAGAGUUCCUAUCGACAAUAGGGUUUACGACCUCGAUGUUGGAUCAGGACACCCAAAUGGUGCAACCGCCAUUAAA
This 523-nucleotide ribosomal RNA is filed under the name Sus scrofa (pig). RNAcentral's name for it is "partial 16S ribosomal RNA". It matches the Rfam family "Bacterial large subunit ribosomal RNA", at positions 1818 to 2569 of the family's 2925-position model. Lineage: Eukaryota; Metazoa; Chordata; Mammalia; Artiodactyla; Suidae. The record is from RNAcentral.